RNAcentral lists this ribosomal RNA (393 nucleotides) under uncultured bacterium. Its description in RNAcentral is "partial 16S ribosomal RNA". It matches the Rfam family "Bacterial small subunit ribosomal RNA", at positions 523 to 918 of the family's 1533-position model. The record is from RNAcentral.
AUACGUAGGUGGCAAGCGUUAUCCGGAUUUACUGGGUGUAAAGGGCGUGUAGGCGGGGUUUCAAGUCGGAUGUGAAAAGGCAAGGCUCAAAUUUGGUCUGUCAUCCGAAACUGGAGAUCUUGAGUGUCAGAGGGAAGUGGUACUCCCGGUGUAGCGGUGAAAUGCGUAGAUAUCGGGAGGAACACCAGUGGCGAAGGCGACUUCCUGGCACAAUACUGACGCUCAUGUGCGAAAGCUAGGGUAGCGAACGGGAUUAGAUACCCCGGUAGUCCUAGCCGUAAACGAUGGAUACUAGGUGUGGGUGUCGCAGGGCAUCCGUGCCGCAGCUAACGCGUUAAGUAUCCCGCCUGGGGACUACGGUCGCAAGACUGAAACUCAAAGGAAUUGACGGGG